CUACUGGCCAUCUCCGGGAAGGAGGCACCUCAGAGUUGAAAUGAAAGUGGGAUGAUGCAGACCCUGAAGAGUGGACAUAAUAUACAGGGAUUAGACAAUUAAAACGCACCGUCAUUGCAUGUAUGAACGGAAGAGGGAAUGCAGUGUGUUCUUCAAAAACGACUCAUCCACCUUAUCAUGAUAUGUUGCCCCUUGGUAAUACUGAUUGUGAAGAUCUGCCCACAAGUCCUGCAGCAACACAGUAGUUAGUAUGUUGAGCAUAUUGAUCAGGCAACAUAAGUUUUGUGUGUAUGGGGAGUGUCCACUAAAAUUUGCUAAUAUAAAACUGUAUCUCAUUUUGCCUCAAGUUAUACAACAUUUGUGUAGAAACUGACAAUAUAGGUUAUUGUGUAGACACUGUGGCAUUUCCAUUUAGAUCAGGGUUGUUAUAUGUUAUACUACCAAGCAUUUUUAAAGAACCUAACGUAUCAUGACAAUGACAGGUUUCAUACAUGGUUUUGUGGAAGACUAUUUGAAUAUAUAUUCCCCCAGACAUUGAGUGUAAUGUCAUAGCACAUACAGUAUAUUGCGAAAUAUUCUGUGGUUUUAUUUUUUUCCAACCAUUUUGUCACAUUUCUUAAUACUAAUAAAACAUUUUUAAAAGUCUUCAUACAGUCAGUCAAGACAAGGAAAUUGUUCUUAUACAGAGCUUUUAACAAUACAUAUCGUUUUAAAACAGCUUUACAGAAAAUCAUACUACAAUUACUUAACUAAUACAUACUAAUAACUUAAAAGUCCCCAUUGAACAGUUUCAUUGAAAAUCAUGCCUUAAUGUUUUUGUCUUUUAAAAAACAAAGCCAAAAAGCAACUGUGGGAGGAAACAAAAACUGCAUAUGUUAGGUAAUGGAGAAAAAAAAAAAAAAAUGUGGAAGAAACCAGGCUCAGCUGUGGGAACCAGUUCCCCUAUGGUAUACUGCAUGAAUCUAAUGCCAAUAUCAGUUAGCAGUGUGUAAUACAACUGAGUAAACUGAGUAGAUUUUUGGCAGUGUUUAAAACUAAAGGAUAUUGAUUGAACUGUAAGAUUAAUGAUUAACUGUCUUUUUAAGUCCAUCCCGAAUUGACUGUGGAAGUGCACAUAGAUGCAGAGUCUUUUGCUGUUUGACUGGUAAAGGCUUUUCUUAGCUGUAGUUUAUUUUCUAUGUUUUCCAUUUUAAGAGAAUGAAAUGAUGCAAGCAGUGGUCAAUAAAGUGUUACUUGCUGUUUU
Myxocyprinus asiaticus (Chinese sucker) is the source of this 1243-nucleotide long non-coding RNA. RefSeq lists it as uncharacterized. The transcript is spliced from 3 exons. The record is from RefSeq and is a predicted model, not a curated record. NCBI's taxonomy places the organism in Eukaryota, Metazoa, Chordata, Actinopteri, Cypriniformes, Catostomidae.